Molecule: unclassified non-coding RNA, 336 nt
Filed under: soil metagenome
Description: partial contains 5.8S ribosomal RNA, internal transcribed spacer 2, and large subunit ribosomal RNA
Rfam family: 5.8S ribosomal RNA (bases 1-120)
Source: RNAcentral
GAUGAAGAACGCAGCGAAAUGCGAUAAGUAAUGUGAAUUGCAGAAUUCAGUGAAUCAUCGAAUCUUUGAACGCACAUUGCGCCCGCCAGUAUUCUGGCGGGCAUGCCUGUUCGAGCGUCAUUUCAACCAUCAAGCCCCAGGCUUGUGUUGGGGACCUGCGGCUGCCGCAGGCCCUGAAAACCAGUGGCGGGCUCGCUGUCACACCGGGCGUAGUAGAUUUCAUCUCGCUCAGGGCGUGCUGCGGGUUCCGGCCGUUAAAAAGCCUUUUUUACCCAAGGUUGACCUCGGAUCAGGUAGGAAGACCCGCUGAACUUAAGCAUAUCAAUAAGCGGAGGA